RNAcentral lists this long non-coding RNA (811 nucleotides) under Nicotiana benthamiana. RNAcentral's name for it is "long non-coding RNA (NBEN_LNC030904)". Lineage: Eukaryota; Viridiplantae; Streptophyta; Magnoliopsida; Solanales; Solanaceae. The record is from RNAcentral.
UAAUUUCUUUAUAAGACACACAACUAAAUAGCAUGGUCAACCAACUUCACUAAUAUGAGUAAACAUCAAUUUCUCAGGAAGAAAAAAGUAAACACAAAGACAAACAACUAUGUCACUCAAGCAUGGACACAACACAAUUUGAAAAUUAAAGAAUGAGCAAAAGUUUUAAAUUGGACCUUAAGCAGCAAGAAUCCUUUCCGAUGUAUUAUUAAUAAUCUUCAGAUUAAAUCUUACAUCAAAUGGCCAAUGGAUGAGGUGGAGAUCCAAAAAUUAGCAGCCAAACUUAAGACAAAAAACUAGAACACGAUCAGAACAGUUGAUGGAACCUCGCCGGCGACCUCUGACUUUAAUCGGAAUCUCAACAGAGUGGUCUAAUAGCGACGAAGGGGAUGUGGGUAGUUGGCGGCAAUUUUUCGACGGGUCUUAGAUGUUGAGUGUGUGCUGCUGAUACUGGUUGUCACGGGUUGAGCAUUGGUGGUUUGCGGCGAGCUCAGGUGGCGGCUGUUGUUGAAGGUGAUGGUUGCGGUUGUUUUUUGUCUAAGGUUCUAGAGGUUCAGCUCUUGUCUAUCUAAGGUUUUGUCUAAUGUCCAAAUGAAGAAUAAGAAGAGAUGGUUGUCGUUGCUAUUGUUUUAAGAGGCAACAAUGGAGAAGAGGCAGAUGAACGAUGGGGUUUUUUCAGUUUUGCCGCUGGUCACUCCCUUCUUUUGCUAGGUCUAGGUUUUUUAUUUCCUUAAGGGCAAUGAGGUAUGGGCUAACAAGAAUUUCGAAAAUGGGCCUAAGAUUGGACCUAUCAUGACAAAAAAAUCGGCCC